AGUCGAGCGGGGAAAGGUAGCUUGCUACCUGACCUAGCGGCGGACGGGUGAGUAAUGCUUAGGAAUCUGCCUAUUAGUGGGGGACAACAUUCCGAAAGGAAUGCUAAUACCGCAUACGCCCUACGGGGGAAAGCAGGGGAUCUUCGGACCUUGCGCUAAUAGAUGAGCCUAAGUCAGAUUAGCUAGUUGGUGGGGUAAAGGCCUACCAAGGCGACGAUCUGUAGCGGGUCUGAGAGGAUGAUCCGCCACACUGGGACUGAGACACGGCCCAGACUCCUACGGGAGGCAGCAGUGGGGAAUAUUGGACAAUGGGCGAAAGCCUGAUCCAGCCAUGCCGCGUGUGUGAAGAAGGCCUUUUGGUUGUAAAGCACUUUAAGCGAGGAGGAGGCUACCGAGAUUAAUACUCUUGGAUAGUGGACGUUACUCGCAGAAUAAGCACCGGCUAACUCUGUGCCAGCAGCCGCGGUAAUACAGAGGGUGCGAGCGUUAAUCGGAUUUACUGGGCGUAAAGCGUGCGUAGGCGGCUUUUUAAGUCGGAUGUGAAAUCCCUGAGCUUAACUUAGGAAUUGCAUUCGAUACUGGGAAGCUAGAGUAUGGGAGAGGAUGGUAGAAUUCCAGGUGUAGCGGUGAAAUGCGUAGAGAUCUGGAGGAAUACCGAUGGCGAAGGCAGCCAUCUGGCCUAAUACUGACGCUGAGGUACGAAAGCAUGGGGAGCAAACAGGAUUAGAUACCCUGGUAGUCCAUGCCGUAAACGAUGUCUACUAGCCGUUGGGGCCUUUGAGGCUUUAGUGGCGCAGCUAACGCGAUAAGUAGACCGCCUGGGGAGUACGGUCGCAAGACUAAAACUCAAAUGAAUUGACGGGGGCCCGCACAAGCGGUGGAGCAUGUGGUUUAAUUCGAUGCAACGCGAAGAACCUUACCUGGUCUUGACAUAGUAAGAACUUUCCAGAGAU
RNAcentral lists this ribosomal RNA (953 nucleotides) under Acinetobacter johnsonii. RNAcentral describes it as "bacterial SSU rRNA". It matches the Rfam family "Bacterial small subunit ribosomal RNA", at positions 60 to 1007 of the family's 1533-position model. Lineage: Bacteria; Pseudomonadati; Pseudomonadota; Gammaproteobacteria; Moraxellales; Moraxellaceae. The record is from RNAcentral.